GGCUCUAUGGGGUCCCUAUGGGGCUCUGUGGGGUCCCUAUGGGUCCCUAUGGGGGCCAUGUCCCACCUCCAGGACAACAUCCACCACGCCGACCCCCCCGUGCAGGUGGGGCCCGCUUAUGGGGUGAUAGGGGGGCUCUAUGGGGCUCUAUGGGGUCCCUAUGGGGCUCUAUGGGGUCCCUAUGGGGUCCCUAAGGGGCUCUGGGGGGGCUAUGUGUGGCCACAAGGGGUCCCUAUGGGGCUCUAUGGGGUCUACAGGUCCCUAUGGGGCUCUAUGGGGUCCCUAUGGGGCUCUAUGGGGUCUCUGUGGGGCUCUAUGGGGUCCCUAUGGGGCUCUAUGGGGUCUACAGGUCUCUAUGGAGUCUCUAUGGGCCCCUAUGAGGUCCCUAUGGGGCUCCGUUGGGUCUCUGUGGGUCCCUAUGGGGUCCCUAUGGGGCUCUAUGGGGGCUCUAUGGGGCUCUGUGGGGCUCUAUGGGGUCCCUAUGGGGCUCUAUGGGGUCUACAGGUCUCUAUGGGUCACUAUGGGGUCCCUAUGGGGCUCUAUGGGGUCUCUAUGGGGCUCUGUGGGGCUCUAUGGGGUCCCUAUGGGGCUCUAUGGGGUCCCUAUGGGGCUCUAUGAGGUCCCUAUGGGGCUCUGGGGGGGCUAUGUGUGGCCACAAGGGGUCCCUAUGGGGCUCUAUGGUGUCUGCAGGUCUCUAUGGGUCACUAUGGGGUCGCUAUGGGGUCCCUAUGGGGUCUGUGGGGCUCUAUGGGGUCCCUAUGGGGCUCGAUGGGGCUCUAUGGGGUCCCUAUGGGGCUCUAGGGGGUCUCUAUGGGGCUCUAGGGGGUCUACAGGACUCUAUGGGUCACUAUGGGGUCCCUAUGGGCCACUAUGGGGUCCCUAUGGGCCACUAUGGGGUCCCUGUGGGGCGCUAUGGGGUCCCUAUGGGGUCCCUAAGGGGCUCUAUGGGGUCCCUAAGGGGCUCUAUGGGGUCCCUAUGGGGCUCUAUGGGGUCUCUGUGGGGCUCUAUGGGUUCUACAGGUCUGUAUAGGUCACUAU
RNAcentral lists this long non-coding RNA (1038 nucleotides) under Numida meleagris (helmeted guineafowl). RNAcentral describes it as "lncRNA (ENSNMEG00000003819.1)". The record is from RNAcentral. Lineage: Eukaryota; Metazoa; Chordata; Aves; Galliformes; Numididae.